GGCUUCUUGGUGUAGUGGCUAUCACAUCUGCUUCACACGCAGAAGGUCGUGAGUUCGAUCCUCACAGAAGUCA
RNAcentral lists this transfer RNA (73 nucleotides) under Ascodesmis nigricans. It matches the Rfam family "tRNA". From Rfam's summary of the family: Transfer RNA (tRNA) molecules are approximately 80 nucleotides in length. Their secondary structure includes four short double-helical elements and three loops (D, anti-codon, and T loops). Further hydrogen bonds mediate the characteristic L-shaped molecular structure. tRNAs have two regions of fundamental functional importance: the anti-codon, which is responsible for specific mRNA codon recognition, and the 3' end, to which the tRNAs corresponding amino acid is attached (by aminoacyl-tRNA synthetases). tRNAs cope with the degeneracy of the genetic code in two manners: having more than one tRNA (with a specific anti-codon) for a particular amino acid; and 'wobble' base-pairing, i.e. permitting non-standard base-pairing at the 3rd anti-codon position. Lineage: Eukaryota; Fungi; Ascomycota; Pezizomycetes; Pezizales; Ascodesmidaceae. The record is from Rfam by way of RNAcentral.